UACGAAGGGGGCUAGCGUUGCUCGGAAUCACUGGGCGUAAAGGGUGCGUAGGCGGGUCUUUUAAGUCAGGGGUGAAAUCCUGGAGCUCAACUCCAGAACUGCCUUUGAUACUGAAGAUCUUGAGUUCGGGGAGAGGUGAGUGGAACUGCGAGUGUAGAGGUGAAAUUCGUAGAUAUUCGCAAGAACACCAGUGGCGAAGGCGGCUCACUGGCCCGAUACUGACGCUGAGGCACGAAAGCGUGGGGAGCAAACAGG
RNAcentral lists this ribosomal RNA (255 nucleotides) under uncultured bacterium. Its description in RNAcentral is "partial 16S ribosomal RNA". It matches the Rfam family "Bacterial small subunit ribosomal RNA", at positions 524 to 776 of the family's 1533-position model. The record is from RNAcentral.